Molecule: non-coding RNA, 113 nt
Organism: Acanthosepion pharaonis
Lineage: Eukaryota; Metazoa; Mollusca; Cephalopoda; Sepiida; Sepiidae
Source: the annotation of a GenBank genome assembly
UACAGCCACAUCAUGUUGAAACACCGGUUCCUGUACAAUCACUGAAGUUAAGCAACGUCAAGUCUGGUCAUUACCUUAGUGGAUGACCCAUUGGGAAUACCAGGUGCUGUAGG